Molecule: ribosomal RNA, 253 nt
Filed under: uncultured bacterium
Lineage: Bacteria
Description: partial 16S ribosomal RNA
Rfam family: Bacterial small subunit ribosomal RNA
Source: RNAcentral
UACAGAGGUCUCAAGCGUUGUUCGGAUUCAUUGGGCGUAAAGGGUGCGUAGGUGGCGCUGUAAGUCGGGUGUGAAAUUUCGGAGCUUAACUCCGAAACUGCAUUCGAUACUGCCGUGCUUGAGGACUGGAGAGGAGACUGGAAUUCUCGGUGUAGCAGUGAAAUGCGUAGAUAUCGAGAGGAACACCGGUGGCGAAGGCGAGUCCCUGGACAACACCUGACACUGAGGCACGAAAGCUAGGGGAGCAAACAGG